AGGAUCAUUCGCAAUGGGGGAAACCCUGACGAUGCGACGCUGCGUGGAGGAUGAAGGCCUUCGGGUUGUAAACUCCUGUCAUGAUGGAAAAGGAGAGGGGACCCAACACGUACCUCAUUUGAUGGUACAUCAAGAGGAAGAGAUGGCUAACUCUGUGCCAGCAGCCGCGGUAAUACGGAGGUCUCUAGCGUUGUUCGGAUUUACUGGGCGUAAAGGGCGCGUAGGCGGCCAUGCGUGUCGGAUGUGAAAUCUCCGGGCUCAACCCGGAAAGUGCGUCCGAAACUGCACGGCUCGAGUGCGGGAGGGGGAGUCGGAAUAUAGGGUGUAGCGGUGAAAUGCGUUGAUAUCCUAUAGAACACCGGAGGCGAAGGCGGACUCCUGGAACGCAACUGACGCUGAGUCGCGAAAGUCGGGGGAGCAAACA
Molecule: ribosomal RNA, 424 nt
Filed under: uncultured bacterium
Lineage: Bacteria
Description: bacterial SSU rRNA
Rfam family: Bacterial small subunit ribosomal RNA
Source: RNAcentral